GAUGAACGCUGGCGGCGUGCCUAAUACAUGCAAGUCGAGCGAACAGGUGAGGAGUUUGUUCCUUUGACGUUAGCCGCGCGCGGGAGUGUCACGUGUGGAUCAUCUCCCUAUAAGACUGGGAUCACUUCGAGACACCGGCGCUAAUAGCGGAUAAUAUAUUGAACCGCAUGGUUCAUUAGUGAAAGACGGCUUUGCUGUUACUUAUAGAUGGUUCCGCGCCGCAUUAGCUGGUUGGUAGGGUAACGGCUUACCAAGGCAACGAUGAGUAGCCGAGCUGAGAGGUGGAUAGCCCACAUGGGAACGGGGACACGGUCCAGAGUCCUAAGGGAGGAAGCAGAAGGGAAUCUUCGGCAAUGGGCGAAAGCCUGACGGAGCAACGCGGCGUGAGUGAGGAAGGUCUUGGGUUCGUAAAACUCGGUUUUUGGGGAAGAACAAAUGGGUAAUUAACUAUGCACGUCGUGACGGUACCUUAUCAGAAAGCCACGGCUAACUACGUG
This 497-nucleotide ribosomal RNA is filed under the name uncultured bacterium. Its description in RNAcentral is "partial 16S ribosomal RNA". It matches the Rfam family "Bacterial small subunit ribosomal RNA", at positions 28 to 507 of the family's 1533-position model. The record is from RNAcentral.